AUUUGUUUGUUCUUGUCUGGUGUCUUCAGCUGAUGGUUCUGUUCGGUCUGUUAGGAGCUUUUCACAUCUACAUGAGACACACGUCAGGAAAGGAACUGGAAGAUCAGAAAGUGAGGAUGAGGAGAUUGAGAGAAGGACAUGAACACACAGCAGAAGAUUGAUGAGAGCAGCAGAUCUUCUGUAUUUUAUGAUUUUUAACAUGUUUAGACACAGAUGUCUAUUUUAUAUUCAUUUGUAAGUGGAGUCAGUUUUGAAAUUAAAAGGAACUUUGGCAUGUGGUAAGUUAAAUGAAAAUAAAAUGCUUUUGAAAUUAAACUGUAUUUCCAGGCAAAAGUCUCAAGCUCCUUUAUUUCAUAAGAGUUAGGUCAGGUGGUCAAGAUGUCACUUAGGGUUAGGAGUUAGGUGUCAAAUUCCUGAAUUGAGUUAAUCCGGUUCUACAAUGCUAUUGUAAAGUGUAUUACUGUGUGGGAACUGAACAGGAUUGAGCACUAAAAGAUAAAUUAAGAACCAAAUUUGUGUAUCAAAUUGCCAAAGUCAAGCACUCCAUAAAACAAACAAAUCAAGUUAAUAAAAGAAAAGUGCAUAAAAUAACAUUUGCAUUAGAUGAUUCGUUAACAUGAUUACACUUUCAAUAAAUAAUUAGCAAUUGGUUUGUAAAUGGUGUUUUGAGUCAUGUUUGGUUUGAGUUCUUGUUGCAUUUAGCUAUCCGGAGGAAAGAGAGUAGCUUUCCAAACCGACUGGUUCAAAUGAUUUUCGGGAGAAUUUUUUUAUUUUUAUUUAAUCAUAUUGUUGGUUGGUUUUGAUCAAUUUCAAUUUUGUUCAGAAAUUUUAAGAAGGACUAGAGUACAUUUGAUCCAAAAACAUCAGGAUUCAUUGUGGAUUUUAGGAAUUGAGUAUUUACGCCUUACAUGUCAAAUGUGAAACAGGUCUUUUCAUUUAACUAAAUUUGCAUUUAGUUUUAUAACCCCUGAUAACUGUACCACUGCAUGUUUGGACUGAAAUAUACUUCUUACUGGUAGUGAUGGUAGAAACUAAGCUAUUUAUUUCUUUUGAAUAAACCAUUUUCAAUAUUUGAUCCAAUCUGAUGAGCCCGGUCUCAAGAAAAUGAGUAUAAAUAGAACACCGAAUAAAAACAGAAAAUCAUGAUAUUGAAACGCAAACAUU
This 1164-nucleotide long non-coding RNA is filed under the name Carassius auratus (goldfish). RNAcentral describes it as "lncRNA (ENSCARG00000011413.1)". The record is from RNAcentral. Lineage: Eukaryota; Metazoa; Chordata; Actinopteri; Cypriniformes; Cyprinidae.